Molecule: ribosomal RNA, 492 nt
Filed under: uncultured bacterium
Lineage: Bacteria
Description: partial 16S ribosomal RNA
Rfam family: Bacterial small subunit ribosomal RNA
Source: RNAcentral
AGUGAACGCUGGCGGUAGGCCUAACACAUGCAAGUCGAACGGCAGCACAGUAAGAGCUUGCUCUUACGGGUGGCGAGUGGCGGACGGGUGAGGAAUACAUCGGAAUCUACUUUUUCGUGGGGGAUAACGUAGGGAAACUUACGCUAAUACCGCAUACGACCUACGGGUGAAAGCAGGGGAUCUUCGGACCUUGCGCGAUUGAAUGCGCCGAUGUCGGAUUAGCUAGUUGGCGGGGUAAAGGCCCACCAAGGCGACGAUCCGUAGCUGGUCUGAGAGGAUGGUCAGCCACACUGGAACUGAGACACGGUCCAGACUCCUACGGGAGGCAGCAGUGGGGAAUAUUGGACAAUGGGCGCAAGCCUGAUCCAGCCAUACCGCGUGGGUGAAGAAGGCCUUCGGGUUGUAAAGCCGUUUUGUUGGGAAAGAAAAGCAGCAGGUUAAUACCCCGCUGUUCUGACGGUACCCAAAGAAUAAGCACCGGCUAACUUCGUG